AGAAUCAACGCUGGCGGCGUGCCUAACACAUGCAAGUCGAACGAGAAAGUGGAGCAAUCCAUGAGUAAAGUGGCGCACGGGUGAGUAACACGUGACUAACCUACCCGUUGAGUGGGGGAUAACCUAGAGAAAUCUGGGCUAAUACCGCAUAAUACCUUCGGGGUCAAAGGAGCAAUUCGCUUAAGGAGGGGGUCGCGGCCGAUUAGUUAGUUGGCGGGGUAAUGGCCCACCAAGACUAUGAUCGGUA
Molecule: ribosomal RNA, 247 nt
Filed under: uncultured bacterium
Lineage: Bacteria
Description: partial small subunit ribosomal RNA
Rfam family: Bacterial small subunit ribosomal RNA
Source: RNAcentral